ACGAACGCUGGCGGCGUGCUUAACACAUGCAAGUCGAACGGAAAGGCCUUUUCGGAGGUACUCGAGUGGCGAACGGGUGAGUAACACGUGGGUGAUCUGCCCUGCACUCUGGGAUAAGCCUGGGAAACUGGGUCUAAUACCGGAUAGGACCGCACUUUAGUGUGUGUGGUGGAAAGUUUUUUCGGUGUAGGAUGAGCCCGCGGCCUAUCAGCUUGUUGGUGGGGUAAUGGCCUACCAAGGCGGCGACGGGUAGCCGGACUGAGAGGUUGGUCGGCCACAUUGGGACUGAGAUACGGCCCAGACUCCUACGGGAGGCAGCAGUGGGGAAUAUUGCACAAUGGGCGCAAGCCUGAUGCAGCGACGCCGCGGGGGGGAUGACGGCCUUCGGGUUGUAAACUCCUUUCGCCAGGGACGAAGCGUUUUGUGACGGUACCUGGAGAAGAAGCACCGGCUAACUACGUG
RNAcentral lists this ribosomal RNA (462 nucleotides) under uncultured bacterium. RNAcentral's name for it is "partial 16S ribosomal RNA". It matches the Rfam family "Bacterial small subunit ribosomal RNA", at positions 29 to 507 of the family's 1533-position model. The record is from RNAcentral.